RNAcentral lists this small RNA (144 nucleotides) under uncultured Pseudescherichia sp. RNAcentral describes it as "Enterobacterial sRNA STnc430". The stretch from base 16 to 144 matches the Rfam family "Enterobacterial sRNA STnc430". Lineage: Bacteria; Pseudomonadati; Pseudomonadota; Gammaproteobacteria; Enterobacterales; Enterobacteriaceae. The record is from RNAcentral.
UCUGCGUAUUAUCCUAAAAUCAUUUGCGGCCAAUAAUGUCGGAAAAGCGUUUUUCAGAUAAAGCUCAAUAAACAGAUUUGCGGUAAGUUACUGGCAACAGGAAAUAUCUGAUAAGAGAGCCGGCAAUAGUACCGGCUUAUAUUA